RNAcentral lists this ribosomal RNA (492 nucleotides) under uncultured bacterium. RNAcentral describes it as "bacterial SSU rRNA". It matches the Rfam family "Bacterial small subunit ribosomal RNA", at positions 28 to 507 of the family's 1533-position model. The record is from RNAcentral.
GAUGAACGCUAGCUACAGGCUUAACACAUGCAAGUCGAGGGGAAACGAUAGAGAAAGCUUGCUUUUUCUAGGCGUCGACCGGCGCACGGGUGAGUAACGCGUAUCCAACCUGCCCAUCACUUGGGGAUAACCUUGCGAAAGUAAGACUAAUACCCAAUGACGUCUCUAGAAGACAUCUGAAAGAGAUUAAAGAUUUAUCGGUGAUGGAUGGGGAUGCGUCUGAUUAGCUUGUUGGCGGGGUAACGGCCCACCAAGGCGACGAUCAGUAGGGGUUCUGAGAGGAAGGUCCCCCACAUUGGAACUGAGACACGGUCCAAACUCCUACGGGAGGCAGCAGUGAGGAAUAUUGGUCAAUGGGCGAGAGCCUGAACCAGCCAAGUAGCGUGAAGGAUGAAGGUCCUACGGAUUGUAAACUUCUUUUAUACGGGAAUAAAGUUUCCUACGUGUAGGAUUUUGUAUGUACCGUAUGAAUAAGCAUCGGCUAACUCCGUG